Phrynosoma platyrhinos (Desert horned lizard) is the source of this 72-nucleotide non-coding RNA. The record is from the annotation of a GenBank genome assembly. NCBI's taxonomy places the organism in Eukaryota, Metazoa, Chordata, Lepidosauria, Squamata, Phrynosomatidae.
UAAAGGAUAGCUUAGUGGUUUGACUGUUGGACUACAAAUCUGGAGACCAGGGUUCGAUUUCCUGUUAUGCCA